AAAUAUAAAUAAUAAAAAUGAUAAAAUUGGGUAAAAAUAUUAUUUGGACUUAAUUGAAAUUGAUUUUGGAAAAAAGUGGUGAAAAUUUGGAUUCUGUGGGUGUUUUUGAAAAGAAAAUCAGAAACCAGGGUCAAAACGCAAUUUAGAAAAGUUGCACCACGUCAGUAGCCACAUCAGCGGCCCGGUCAGCAGCCCCGGCCAACUAGAACGUGCCGCAUGGCAAGGCAACACUGACCAGGGAACGGGCCACGCGGGUGAUCCGCGUGCGCGCGAUCGGACGGCCCAGAUCCGACGUCGGAGCACGGCGGAGCCGCCGUGCCGGAAUUGCGAUAUU
RNAcentral lists this long non-coding RNA (334 nucleotides) under Carica papaya (papaya). RNAcentral describes it as "long non-coding RNA (CPAP_LNC012023)". Lineage: Eukaryota; Viridiplantae; Streptophyta; Magnoliopsida; Brassicales; Caricaceae. The record is from RNAcentral.